UUGUAUAUCAAAAUAUCUGCGAGUUUAUGUACGGGAAGACAAUAUUUCAACAGCAGUGUAAUUAUGAAGAUUUUGACAAUACUAGACGAUGCCCACAAAAUCGCUGUACAAUUGGACAAGUGUUGAAACAAAGUGUUUUAAAUUUCGUGAGCAUGCACGAAAGCGUAAAAUACAUAGAUCGACAACAGUCUGAGAAUUGUAAUUUUUUUAAA
This 212-nucleotide long non-coding RNA is filed under the name Mytilus galloprovincialis (Mediterranean mussel). The record is from RNAcentral. Lineage: Eukaryota; Metazoa; Mollusca; Bivalvia; Mytilida; Mytilidae.